UCGAUAAAAGCGAUGGCUGCUGGGAAAUUUUCGAUUCAAUCUGUAGAAAUUGCAAUGAAAAUGCGAAGUGCGUAGUGAAAGUAUUUGUGAAUUCGUAUGGCAGGUGGAGCGUUGUUGAAGAUGUAUCCCCAAUUCAAGCGCUAAUCGGAAUGGCGACAAAGUUUACGCCACUAUGAAGGACUCACCACUACGUUUGGCAACACAAUCUUGCUCUGCCAGUCCCAAAGUUUGUGUGCGUGACUGUCUAUGCAUUUGUGGAUCCAAUUUCCUCUAGGAUCAGAAGUCAGGCAUGAAUCAUAUUCCUCAAAUCAUUAUUAAAGAAAUACAGGCUUAGUUUGCGAUUUAAAAUUCUAAAUUAAUAAGGAAUUAAGUAUUUGAUUUGGAAUUUGUUCAUCCAAACAUGACACAAUUCAUAAUAUAUACUCCUUACUACAAAAAGAGUACUCCCUCCCGUCCUUCCCUCCAUCCCGCGGAACAUGAAGCUCCUGUCAGAGACAAAAUAGUUUAGGUAAUGUAGGUUAUUAACUUAUUAAUAAUAAGUUAAGAUAAUAUUUUAUUAUUUUUUAUAUAUGUAAUGUUGUUGGUAUUUUAAAUAUUUUUAAAAUUAUAUCUCUAAUGCAAUAUGGAUAUCAUUUUUUGUAGACACUAAAAUUUUAUAUAAUACAAAUGAAUAAAAAAAAUAUAUUUAUUUAUUUAUCAUUAUCAUAAAUUAGUUUUAUAAUAAACUAGGAGUUUUAAAGAUAGAUAAAAAUAUUUGUUAAUUGAGAAGAAAGAUAAAAAUAAGGGGGUUUUAAGUGAGUGAUACCGAAGUUUAAUUAAAUUGAUUUAUAUUUGUUAAGUAUGUUAUCUGUGGCAGGACGGACGGAGGAAGUAUAAUAUAUUCUACUAUAUAAAUAAAUAAAAUUUAAUUUAAAGUAUUGUUUUUUAUAUUAUUAGUAUAUAGUACCUUACAAGAAAAAUGUAAAAAUUGUAUUUAAUUUAAAUUUUUUUAAAAAAAAAUUAAAAUUAAAAGUGUUAAAAUUUUGCUGUCGUGUAAACUUACAAAGCCUAAUAGAAGUGGACUGCGCAGGAUUGGGCUAAAAUGUAAAAUGUUAGCCCGGUCCGCGAGCUGUGUUGUAGUGGACCGAUAAGGUUUGAUUUGGGCCGCGUUGGCUAGUCUCUACGCAGUAUGCGUAUUAUUUCUUUAAAGCAGGCUUGAAUGGACCCUAAACCCUAGUAAGUGGACCGAGUGACACCCUGACUUUACCACUAACUCCCAUUUAAUACUACUAUUGUGGUGGCAUCAUUUUUGUAAUUGUUUACUCUCAAUACUACUAAUAUUUAAACAAUGUGUACUCUAAUAUAACAUUCCUGCUUUAUAUAUAUAUAUUAAUGUAGGAAAUAGGAACUGUAAGUCGUUAUUAUUUAAUUUACUCACAAUUUUACCAUUAUUUACCAAAAAUAUUAUCUAAUAUUAUACACCAAAAAACCACUAACCUUUAUAAAGUAUUUUUAAGCUUUUUGUCUUGCACUAAUUUACAUACCAAUAUUAUACUCUUUAUGUCCUACCAAUACGCGUAUAUAAGUAUUAUUUUUGCUUAACACGCACUCCGCUCCAAACGGAGGAAGU
Molecule: long non-coding RNA, 1609 nt
Organism: Andrographis paniculata
Lineage: Eukaryota; Viridiplantae; Streptophyta; Magnoliopsida; Lamiales; Acanthaceae
Exons: 3
Source: RefSeq, a predicted model, not a curated record